This 496-nucleotide ribosomal RNA is filed under the name uncultured bacterium. Its description in RNAcentral is "partial 16S ribosomal RNA". It matches the Rfam family "Bacterial small subunit ribosomal RNA", at positions 28 to 506 of the family's 1533-position model. The record is from RNAcentral.
GAUGAACGCUGGCGGCGUGCCUAAUACAUGCAAGUCGAGCGAACGGACGAGAAGCUUGCUUCUCUGAUGUUAGCGGCGGACGGGUGAGUAACACGUGGAUAACCUACCUAUAAGACUGGGAUAACUUCGGGAAACCGGAGCUAAUACCGGAUAAUAUUUUGAACCGCAUGGUUCAAAAGUGAAAGACGGUCUUGCUGUCACUUAUAGAUGGAUCCGCGCUGCAUUAGCUAGUUGGUAAGGUAACGGCUUACCAAGGCAACGAUGCAUAGCCGACCUGAGAGGGUGAUCGGCCACACUGAAACUGAGACCCGGCCCAGACCCCUAGGGGAGGCAGCAGGGGGGAAUCUUCCGCAAGGGGCGAAGGCUUGACGGAGCAACGCCGCGUGAGUGAUGAAGGUCUUCGGAUCGUAAAACUCUGUUAUUAGGGAAAAGCAUAUGUGUAAGUAACUGUGCACAUCUUGAGGGUACCUAAUAAGAAGGCCCCGGCUACCUACGU